UGGGGAAUCUUCCGCAAUGGACGAAAGUCUGACGGAGCAACGCCGCGUGAGUGAAGAAGGUUUUCGGAUCGUAAAACUCUGUCUUUUGGGGCGAACGUGAGUAUGGUGAACAAUCAUAGUCAGUGACGGUACCAAAGGAGGAAGCCACGGCUAACUACGUGCCAGCAGCCGCGGUAAUACGUAGGUGGCAAGCGUUGUCCGGAAUUAUUGGGCGUAAAGAGCGCGUAGGCGGGAUAGUCAGUCUGUUGUAAAGUGCGGGGCUCAACCCCGUGAUGGCAAUGGAAACAGCUAUUCUUGAGUGCAGGAGAGGAAAGUGGAAUUCCCAGUGUAGCGGUGAAAUGCGUAGAUAUUGGGAGGAACACCAGUGGCGAAGGCGACUUUCUGGACUGUGUCUGACGCUGAGGCGCGAAAGCCAGGGGGAGCGAACGGGAUUAGAUACCCCCGGUAGUCCUGGCCGUAAACGAUGGGUACUAGGUGUGGGAGGUAUCGACCCCCUUCCGUGCCGGAGUUAANGCAAAUAAGUACCCCCGCCUGGGGAGUACGGUCGCAAGACUGAAACUU
Molecule: ribosomal RNA, 561 nt
Filed under: uncultured bacterium
Lineage: Bacteria
Description: partial 16S ribosomal RNA
Rfam family: Bacterial small subunit ribosomal RNA
Source: RNAcentral